UCAAACUUGGUCAUUUAGAGGAAGUAAAAGUCGUAACAAGGUUUCCGUAGGUGAACCUGCGGAAGGAUCAUUACCGAUGGCAGCCGCGAACGCCACCUGACGGGAGCGGCGGCCGUUACCCACACCCCUACUGUAUCCGUACCUCUCGUUUCUUCCCUCGGCAGGGUAGCCUGCCGCUGGAAUCUCCGAACAACCUCUUUGCAUCCAGCAUUACCUGUUCCGAUACCGUACAAUCGUUACAACUUUCAACAAUGGAUCUCUUGGCUCUGGCAUCGAUGAAGAACGCAGC
This 289-nucleotide unclassified non-coding RNA is filed under the name uncultured fungus. RNAcentral describes it as "partial contains small subunit ribosomal RNA, internal transcribed spacer 1, and 5.8S ribosomal RNA". The stretch from base 1 to 73 matches the Rfam family "Eukaryotic small subunit ribosomal RNA", at positions 1759 to 1831 of the family's 1831-position model. The record is from RNAcentral. Lineage: Eukaryota; Fungi.